RNAcentral lists this ribosomal RNA (1206 nucleotides) under Triticum aestivum (bread wheat). Its description in RNAcentral is "partial small subunit ribosomal RNA". Lineage: Eukaryota; Viridiplantae; Streptophyta; Magnoliopsida; Poales; Poaceae. The record is from RNAcentral.
AUGGUGCACCCACAGUUGCGCGUCCACUUGUCCCGCGCAUUGGCACUGAUGUGCAACACCUUGGUUGAUAUGAGAGUGUUGGACGAGUGCCUAUGUCAGAUAUCUGAAGCAUUGGUAAAGGCAGAUUUCACCACUAAGAUGGUCUCGGAGCUGCAGGUAAAGGUGAAGAAAGCUAUGGAUCCCACAGUAACCGGGAGCAAUCAUAGCAUACAUCAGAUUCUCUGUAAGGAGAUAUGCAAGUUAAUUGAUUCAGGAAGAAAGCCAUCAUUUGUCCCCAAGAAGGGGAUGCCAUGUAUUGUGCUGGUGAUAGGUUUCCAAGACUCUGGUAAAACUACAAGCUGUGCCAAGUUUGCGUAUCAUCAUAAACAGAAAGGAUAUAAACCAUCAUUAGUAUGUGCGGAUACCGGAAGCAGUUCACUUGAUCGGUUAAAGCAGAUAGCACAUGAAGCUAAAAUUCCAGUCUAUGGAAGCAACUUGGGAUCAGAUCCUAUUCAGGUUGCUAUUCAGGGUGUGGAGAAGUUCAAAAAGGAGAACUCGGAUCUCAUUAUCAUUGAUACAAGCGGGAGCUACACAUCUAAAGAUGCAUUUUUUGCUGAAAUACAUAAAAUUGAGAAAGCCACGAACCCACAUUUGAUAGUGCUUGUAGUGGACGCUGCAGAUGGCCAAUUUGCAUUUGAUCUGGCUGGGCCCUUUAUAAGAAAUUGCUCUAUUGGUUCUGCUAUUAUCAGCAAAAUGGACCGCCAUCCAUAUGGAGGCGGUACACUUAGCGCACUUGCUGCAGCAAACUGUCCCGUUAUCUUUUAUGGAACUGGAAAAUCGAUUGAAUCAUUUGAAAUCUUCGACGUGAAGGCCUUCACGAGUAAUCUUCUAGAUUACAAGAGUAGGACUUUCACAAUUGACAUCGAAGAUAUGCAUAAUAUGCUGGACAACUUACAAGUAUCUGAGGUUGAAAGAACAAACGCGGUGCGUCAGAUGGAAAAGGCAUGCUUGAAUGCUUAUCACGCUGUUUUGGAGAAGGAGAGGAUGCUGGCUCAGCAGGUUUCUUCUUCAGAAUCAGAAUACAAUAAAAUUUGUGACAUCCUUGGUGAGAAAGAACUGAAGCAUAGCAAAAUCAAGGUUAGCUACAGGUUCCUUAGAAUCAGAAUAAUAUUUGUUCUUCUGCCAUUUACGGUUUUAUUUUCUUUUUUCAGUCCGUCUCUUCAUUAG